Molecule: ribosomal RNA, 319 nt
Filed under: Clostridioides difficile
Lineage: Bacteria; Bacillati; Bacillota; Clostridia; Peptostreptococcales; Peptostreptococcaceae
Description: bacterial SSU rRNA
Rfam family: Bacterial small subunit ribosomal RNA
Source: RNAcentral
GAUCGGCCACAUUGGAACUGAGACACGGUCCAAACUCCUACGGGAGGCAGCAGUGGGGAAUAUUGCACAAUGGGCGAAAGCCUGAUGCAGCAACGCCGCGUGAGUGAUGAAGGCCUUCGGGUCGUAAAACUCUGUCCUCAAGGAAGAUAAUGACGGUACUUGAGGAGGAAGCCCCGGCUAACUACGUGCCAGCAGCCGCGGUAAUACGUAGGGGGCUAGCGUUAUCCGGAUUUACUGGGCGUAAAGGGUGCGUAGGCGGUCUUUCAAGUCAGGAGUGAAAGGCUACGGCUCAACCGUAGUAAGCUCUUGAAACUGGGAG